Molecule: ribosomal RNA, 253 nt
Filed under: uncultured bacterium
Lineage: Bacteria
Description: partial 16S ribosomal RNA
Rfam family: Bacterial small subunit ribosomal RNA
Source: RNAcentral
UACGGAGGAUGCAAGCGUUAUCCGGAAUGAUUGGGCGUAAAGCGUCCGCAGGUGGCUGUGUAAGUCUGCUGUCAAAGAGCAAAGCUCAACUUUGUAAAGGCAGUGGAAACUACACGGCUAGAGUGCGUUCGGGGCAGAGGGAAUUCCUGGUGUAGCGGUGAAAUGCGUAGAGAUCAGGAAGAACACCAGUGGCGAAGGCGCUCUGCUAGGCCGUAACUGACACUGAGGGACGAAAGCUAGGGGAGCGAAUGGG